This 492-nucleotide ribosomal RNA is filed under the name uncultured bacterium. RNAcentral describes it as "partial 16S ribosomal RNA". It matches the Rfam family "Bacterial small subunit ribosomal RNA", at positions 29 to 507 of the family's 1533-position model. The record is from RNAcentral.
AGUGAACGCUGGCGGUAGGCCUAACACAUGCAAGUCGAACGGCAGCACAGUAAGAGCUUGCUCUUACGGGUGGCGAGUGGCGGACGGGUGAGGAAUACAUCGGAAUCUACUUUUUCGUGGGGGAUAACGUAGGGAAACUUACGCUAAUACCGCAUACGACCUACGGGUGAAAGCAGGGGAUCUUCGGACCUUGCGCGAUUGAAUGAGCCGAUGUCGGAUUAGCUAGUUGGCGGGGUAAAGGCCCACCAAGGCGACGAUCCGUAGCUGGUCUGAGAGGAGGGUCAGCCACACUGGAACUGAGACGCGGUCCAGACUCCUACGGGAGGGAGCAGUGGGGAAUGUUGGACAAUGGGCGGAAGCCUGGUCCAGCCAUACCGAGUGGGUGGAGGAGGCCUUCGGGUUGUAAAGCCGUUUUGUUGGGAAAGAAAAGCAGCAGGUUAAUACCCCGCUGUUCUGACGGUACCCAAAGAAUAAGCACCGGCUAACUUCGUG